Molecule: ribosomal RNA, 440 nt
Filed under: uncultured bacterium
Lineage: Bacteria
Description: partial 16S ribosomal RNA
Rfam family: Bacterial small subunit ribosomal RNA
Source: RNAcentral
CCUACGGGAGGCAGCAGUGAGGGAUAUUGGUCAAUGGGGGAAACCCUGAACCAGCAACGCCGCGUGAGGGAAGACGGUUUUCGGAUUGUAAACCUCUGUCCUCUGUGAAGAUGAUGACGGUAGCAGAGGAGGAAGCUCCGGCUAACUACGUGCCAGCAGCCGCGGUAAUACGUAGGGAGCAAGCGUUGUCCGGAUUUACUGGGUGUAAAGGGAGCGUAGACGGUGCGCCAAGUCUGGAGUGAAAUGCCGCAGCUUAACUGCGGAACUGCUUUGGAAACUGGCGAACUAGAGUGCGGGAGGGGUAAGCGGAAUUCCUAGUGUAGCGGUGAAAUGCGUAGAUAUUAGGAGGAACACCGGUGGCGAAGGCGGCUUACUGGACCGUAACUGACGUUGAGGCUCGAAAGCGUGGGGAGCAAACAGGAUUAGAUACCCUUGUAGUC